UCGCGUCUUACGACGGCAGUUUCACUAGAGUUCCCAGCGUUACCUGAUGGCAACUAGUGAUGGGGGUUGCGCUCGUUGCGGGACUUAACCCAACAUCUCACGACACGAGCUGACGACAGCCAUGCAGCACCUGUGUCUAGGUUCCCCGAAGGGCACUCCCUAAUCUCUUAGAGAUUCCUAGCAUGUCAAGACCUGGUAAGGUUCUUCGCGUUGCUUCGAAUUAAACCACAUGCUCCGCUGCUUGUGCGGGCCCCCGUCAAUUCUUUUGAGUUUUAGUCUUGCGGCCGUACUCCCCAGGCGGAACACUUAUCGCGUUGGCUACGGCACAGACAGAUUCGACUCCGCCCACACCUAGUGUUCAUCGUUUACAGUGUGGACUAC
RNAcentral lists this unclassified non-coding RNA (381 nucleotides) under uncultured bacterium. Its description in RNAcentral is "contains 16S-23S intergenic spacer region". The record is from RNAcentral.